This is a long non-coding RNA of Rhopalosiphum padi (bird cherry-oat aphid), 418 nucleotides long. RefSeq lists it as uncharacterized. The transcript has 2 exons. The record is from RefSeq and is a predicted model, not a curated record. Lineage: Eukaryota; Metazoa; Arthropoda; Insecta; Hemiptera; Aphididae.
GUAGAUUUGUAUUAUCUCUUUUAUUGCUAAGCAUUAUAAUUAUUUCUUUAACCAUUAUACAUAUUUAACUGACUAUUUGUGUUUUAGAUGGCAGUACUGCAGAUCACUGGAGGCAUGCUGAGACAUGAAUUAGCAUUUCUAUCACUAGGGAAAGUUACAACAUUUUCCGUUGAAAAUGGAAUAGAAGAUGGCAGUAUAUCAGAUCAAUCAAGGCACGCUGAGACACGAAUUCACAUUUCUACCACCAAGGAAAGAAUCAACAUGCUAUGUUGAAAAUGGACUAGAAGAUACUGAUAAUAAUAUUGGAUUUAUGCAAUGUGCGUGCAAUGGUUAUUGAAUAUAAUUGAUUCUAAAUUAAUAGCUGUGAAACAAUUGAGAUUUGUUAAAUAUCUGAAUAAAAUAAUAGUAAACACCUUUA